AUGAACGCUGGCGGCGUGCCUAACACAUGCAAGUCGAACGAAGCACUCUGAUCGGAGAUUCGUCGAAGAUUGGAUUUGACUUAGUGGCGGACGGGUGAGUAAUGUAUGAGCAACCUGCCUUCAGAGGGGGACAACAGUUGGAAACGACUGCUGAUACCGCAUAAUGUAUUGAGACGGCAUCGUCAUGAUACCAAAGGAGCAAUCCGCUGAAAGAUGGGCUCAUAUCUGAUUAGUUAGUUGGCAGGGUAACGGCCUACCAAGACUGCGAUCAGUAGCCGGACUGAGAGGUUGAACGGCCACAUUGGGACUGAGAUACGGCCCAGACUCCUACGGGAGGCAGCAGUGGGGAAUAUUGGGCAAUGGGCGAAAGCCUGAACCCCAGCAACGCCGCGUGAAGGAAGAAGGUCUUCGGAUUGUAAACUUCUUUUAUGAGGGACGAAGGACGUGACGGUACCUCAUGAAUAAGCCACGGCUAACUACGUGCCAGCAGCCGC
Molecule: ribosomal RNA, 494 nt
Filed under: uncultured bacterium
Lineage: Bacteria
Description: bacterial SSU rRNA
Rfam family: Bacterial small subunit ribosomal RNA
Source: RNAcentral